GCCUGGGUGGCUCAGUAGUUUGAGCAUCCAACUUUGGCUCAGGUCACAAUCUCGUGGUUUGUGGGUUCUAGUCCCACAUCGGGCU
RNAcentral lists this transfer RNA (85 nucleotides) under Felis catus (domestic cat). It matches the Rfam family "tRNA". Rfam says of the family: Transfer RNA (tRNA) molecules are approximately 80 nucleotides in length. Their secondary structure includes four short double-helical elements and three loops (D, anti-codon, and T loops). Lineage: Eukaryota; Metazoa; Chordata; Mammalia; Carnivora; Felidae. The record is from Rfam by way of RNAcentral.